RNAcentral lists this unclassified non-coding RNA (222 nucleotides) under Hevea brasiliensis (rubber tree). The record is from RNAcentral. Lineage: Eukaryota; Viridiplantae; Streptophyta; Magnoliopsida; Malpighiales; Euphorbiaceae.
GGAAAUUCUUACUGUUUGCUCAACCACUAUCUAACUUAAGCUUAUCGUAUUAUGUUAGAUAUUGUGAAACAAUGUGAUCACGUUACUGUUAAAGCUCAAAAAAACUCCUUUGAGUUAUCAAAAAUAUUUGUUGGAUCAAAAUUUAUCGUUCCUCUUUACAAUUACAAGAACAUGUUCUAGCUUUGAGAAAGGGGACUUCUUGUAGUAACUUGUUUCGCUAAC